RNAcentral lists this ribosomal RNA (427 nucleotides) under uncultured bacterium. Its description in RNAcentral is "bacterial SSU rRNA". It matches the Rfam family "Bacterial small subunit ribosomal RNA", at positions 355 to 774 of the family's 1533-position model. The record is from RNAcentral.
UAGGGAAUAUUGGACAAUGGGGGCAACCCUGAUCCAGCCAUGCCGCGUGAGUGAAGAAGGCCCUCGGGUUGUAAAGCUCUUUUGUCCGGAAAGAAAAGCAUUCGGUGGAUACCCGGAUGUUCUGACGGUACCGGAAGAAUAAGCACCGGCUAACUUCGUGCCAGCAGCCGCGGUAAUACGAAGGGUGCAAGCGUUAUCCGGAAUUAUUGGGUUUAAAGGGUGCGUAGGCGGACUAAUAAGUCAGUGGUGAAAGCCUGCAGCUUAACUGCAGAAUUGCCAUUGAUACUGUUAGUCUUGAGUACAGUUGAGGUAGGCGGAAUGUGUCAUGUAGCGGUGAAAUGCUUAGAUAUGACACAGAACACCGAUUGCGAAGGCAGCUUGCUAAGCUGUAACUGACGCUGAGGCACGAAAGCGUGGGGAGCAAACA